ACUGCUCAGUAACACGUGGACAACCUACCCUUAGGUCAGGAAUAACCCCGGGAAACUGGGAAUAAUACCUGAUAUUGCGCGAAUGCUGGAAUGCUUCGCGCGAGAAAGCUCCGGCGCCUAAGGAUGGGUCUGCGGCCUAUCAGGGUAGUAGUGGGUGUAACGUACCUACUAGCCUACGACGGGUACGGGUUGUGAGAGCAAGAGCCCGGAGAUGGAUUCUGAGACACGAAUCCAGGCCCUACGGGGUGCAGCAGGCGCGAAAACUUUACAAUGCUGGCAACAGCGAUAAGGGGACCUCGAGUGCCAGGAUACAAUCCUGGCUGUCGUAAUGCCUAAAAAGCAUUUCAUAGCAAGGGCCGGGCAAGACCGGUGCCAGCCGCCGCGGUAACACCGGCGGCUCGAGUGGUAACCGCUAUUAUUGGGUCUAAAGGGUCUGUAGCCGGCUGGAUAAGUCUCUUGGGAAAUCCGGCAGCUUAACUGUCGGGCUUUCAGGGGAUACUGUCCGGCUCGAGACCGGGAGAGGUGAGAGGUACUUCAGGGGUAGGGGUGAAAUCUUGUAAUCCUUGAAGGACCACCAGUGGCGAAGGCGUCUCACCAGAACGGAUCUGACGGCAAGGGACGAAAGCUAGGGGCACGAACCGGAUUAGAUACCCGGGUAGUCCUAGCCGUAAACGAUACUCGCUAGGUGUCGGUCACGGUGCGACCGUGGUCGGUGCCGUAGGGAAGCCGUGAAGCGAGCCACCUGGGAAGUACGGCCGCAAGGCUGAAACUUAAAGGAAUUGGCGGGGGAGCAC
This 794-nucleotide ribosomal RNA is filed under the name uncultured archaeon. Its description in RNAcentral is "bacterial SSU rRNA". It matches the Rfam family "Archaeal small subunit ribosomal RNA", at positions 85 to 879 of the family's 1478-position model. The record is from RNAcentral.